GAUGAAGAACGCAGCGAAAUGCGAUACGUAAUGUGAAUUGCAGAAUUCAGUGAAUCAUCGAAUCUUUGAACGCAUAUUGCGCUCUCUGGUAUUCCGGAGAGCAUGCUUGUUUGAGUAUCAGUAAACACCUCAACUUCCAUAUCUUUUUUGAAAUGGGAGUUGGACUUGAGUGAUCCCAACGCUUUUCCUCACCGAAAAGUGGCGGGUUACUUGAAAUGCAGGUGCAGCUGGACUUUUCUCUGAGCUAUAAGCAUAUCUAUUUAGUCUGCCUAAAAAACAGAUUAUUACCUUUGCUGCAGCUAACAUAAAGGAGAUUAGUUCUUGUGCUGACUGAUGCAGGAUUCACAAAGACGGCUUCGGCCGACUUUGUAAACUCGAUCUCAAAUCAAGUAAGACUACCCGCUGAACUUAAGCACAUCAAUAAGCGGAGGA
Molecule: unclassified non-coding RNA, 432 nt
Filed under: soil metagenome
Description: partial contains 5.8S ribosomal RNA, internal transcribed spacer 2, and large subunit ribosomal RNA
Rfam family: 5.8S ribosomal RNA (bases 1-120)
Source: RNAcentral